ACUCUUUUGUACCCAAUGUCUGUUGGUUUUCCUCCCUACUCAAUAUACUCAUUGCUAUCAAUCAAAAAGCCUCACACACACGCGCGCGCGAAGGAACGUUGUUGACUCACAAUUACGAAGAAGGAAACACCGCGCUCUCAGUGCUCGUUGGCUCACCUCGGUGUGUCCUAAACCCGCGCGUCUCAUAGAUUAUAGAGAAGGAAUCGCCGCUCCCGACACUCAUUGCCCUCACGUUCUCAAUUCGUCUCUCAUCCCAAGCGGUAAUGCUGCAAACUUUUGUUUUCCAUUUGUAAUUCGGUUCUUAUAAUCUAGCGAGAACCUUCACCCUAACUACGUGCUAGCACGUAGAAUCUCGAGAAGGAAACGCCGUUACCGUCACGUUUUCAAUUGUCUCUCAUCUAUUGUGUCCCAAACGGUAAUGCUCUGUAAUUUCAUCUUUUAUUUGUAAUUAUCCUUAUAACUAUCUCUGUAAAUGCUGGGCAUUAGGUUCUAUGAAUUCUCUUAUCAUAGGUCUUCUCUAGUUCCUUUUACCUUUAGUUUAUUUUUAGCUUAGACCUUAAUUUGAUUUUAAUUUGUUAAUUUUUAAAAUUGGGAUUGAGGAUUGGUGUGGGUUUAUGGCCGUGAAGUUCACUGGGUCUAGAAGGGCGGCGAUGGUCAUUAGUUUGUAGUGUAAAAGGGAAUAAGCUCAAAUUAAUAUAAUUAUAGAUAAAGUCAAUUAUGUACUUUGAUUACCAUAAAUUUAAGAAUAGUGUAAGUAUCCAAACUUAGAAUCACCGAGCUUUCAUGUUUCUAAUGCAAAAUGUUCUAUUGUGUUUGAACCCAUCCAACUGAGGUCACUGCCAGUGUCAAGUAUCAACCAAACAUGUUUAAGAGGUGUUCCAACAAACAUGUCUAUGAAAUACUCUCCUGUGCCAAGAUAGGGUCCAAACUCCAAGUUUGUGAUGAUAUUACCCAAAAACUCAUCUUUAGAAGAUUCCAAUGAUGCUACAAAAGCAUUAGCUAGGUUGUUCUGCUACUCGAUGGUGAUACUUUCCUUCACUUCUUACUUCCUUGACAUGUUGUUUGUGUUCUUUUUCUCUAUGACUUUUCUAUGAAGAGUUUGACUUCUGACCAAAUCCCUGAUUGUUGAGUCCAGUACAUGAGUUUUAGGCCCAUUCCAGUGAUUCAUUGGCUUGUGUCUUAGGUGUAACUUUGUUGAUAUAACACCACCUCCAUCUUCUUCCUUAUUUAAUCCAGUUGGUUAUGAACUUUUGGCUUUCCUGUAAAAUUCUUUGUUGGUGAUAGUUCGAUCAUUAUUGUGCUCAUUUUGAGCAUCAACUUCAGUGUAUGCUUUCAAAGCGACAGAAAAUUGAAAGGACCAAAACAAGGAAAACUUUCUUGACCAUAGUGUUGCUUUCUCCUUGUUUGGUCGCAUGCCCAAUAUAAAGUUAGAAAAAUUUCCUAAAGUUUAUACUUGGAGAAUGGAAGGAAGCAUUCAGAAGUUAGAUUAAAGGAAACAACCAUUGACAUCUGGAGCUGCAAUGCAGGUAACAAAGUCCACUCAAAUAGUACACAAAAAGCAAGAACAAAGGAAGCAAUCCUUGAACAAUGGUGUUGCAGCCUAGCCAAUUAAAUCUACUUUAAUUCCUAUACAGAAGGACUUAAGAAUGACUCAUCAUGAUCAAGUAUUAGAAGAAGAACAAGCCUCUAAGAAAAUUAUUGAGCAGAAUUUUGUUAAGAGGCAAGUAAGGUCUAUUGUGGGAAAUCAAGAUCAGGGAUUAGCAUAGGAACACACUUUUAAGAAAAUAGAUGAGCAAACGAAAGGAUUUUGUCAGAGUAAAAGUGUUAAAAGGUGGUUAAUUAGGUGUACAACAAAAAAUCAAGUUGAAGGAUCAAUGGAACAAGCUGCUACUAAGAAGAAAAAGACUGUCUCAAAUGUCCAGCUAUGCCACUUAAUGAGUACAUUAAUAAGAAUGACCAACAAGAUUGGAGCAAGGAAUUGAGGUAUAAACUAUGAUAAUGAAGUAACUGAGGAUACUGAUGUAAAUAAUUUUGAAGGUAACAUCAUUAUUAAUUAUUAAUUUUGAUUUUUUU
Glycine soja is the source of this 2073-nucleotide long non-coding RNA. RefSeq lists it as uncharacterized. The record is from RefSeq and is a predicted model, not a curated record. NCBI's taxonomy places the organism in Eukaryota, Viridiplantae, Streptophyta, Magnoliopsida, Fabales, Fabaceae. The transcript has 2 exons.